UGGGGAAUAUUGGACAAUGGGCGAAAGCCUGAUCCAGCGACGCCGCGUGGAGGAAGAAGUCUUUCGGGAUGUAAACUCCUUUUGAUAGGAAAGAUAAUGACGGUACCUAUAGAAUAAGUCCCGGCUAACUACGUGCCAGCAGCCGCGGUAAUACGUAGGGGACGAGUGUUGUCCGGAUUUACUGGGCGUAAAGCGCGUGUAGGUGGUAUUUUAAGUCAGGUGUUAAAGGCAGAGGCUCAACCUUUGUACGCACUUGAUACUGAAUUACUAGAGGAUAGGAGAGGAGAGUGGAACUCACGGUGUAGCGGUGAAAUGCGUAGAUAUCGUGAGGAACACCAAUGGCGAAGGCAGCUCUCUGGACUAUUCCUGACACUAAGACGCGAAAGCGUGGGGAGCAAACGGG
This 403-nucleotide ribosomal RNA is filed under the name uncultured bacterium. Its description in RNAcentral is "bacterial SSU rRNA". It matches the Rfam family "Bacterial small subunit ribosomal RNA", at positions 355 to 776 of the family's 1533-position model. The record is from RNAcentral.